GUUGUGGCAAAUUCCACAGCCGGGUUUAGCAGCCCGCACAACAAAAGGCGUCCGAACCGCGCCCGUAACAGCGCGGUUUUCCU
Small RNA from Haematospirillum jordaniae, 83 nucleotides. It matches the Rfam family "isrK Hfq binding RNA". The record is from Rfam. Lineage: Bacteria; Pseudomonadati; Pseudomonadota; Alphaproteobacteria; Rhodospirillales; Novispirillaceae.